Molecule: ribosomal RNA, 24 nt
Filed under: uncultured Pezizomycotina
Lineage: Eukaryota; Fungi; Ascomycota
Description: partial 18S ribosomal RNA
Source: RNAcentral
UGGUGACCUGCGGAGGGAUCAUUA